CUCAGAACCAUAAUUAUAAUACCACAUAUGUUCAGCCCAGUAACAUUGUUUACCCAAACUUAAAUGAAGCAAGGGUUUAUUGUUGAGCUUUGCCAUAUUGCUCGUUUGAACAAGUUAUUAUGGGUUUUGUUAGCCCGAGUUUGGUUAUCUUAUAUGAUUAUGUAUUUGGAAUAGCGUGGUUGACUGAAUAGUUGGUUUCAGUGAAGAGUGAAGACUGAAGACACAGUUUAGCCUCUGUAUUUUCCACUCCUGGAAUACCAGCAGCAAGUAAAACAUUGGAUAGUUCUGAUGCAUGUGUGACUGUUCUUUGUAUUAAACUUGCUACGUGGUGGCCAUGGGAUGAACUCUCAUCAAGCAAAGUUGUUGGAGAACGUGAUGCAGCUAAGACUGUUGAAACUGAUGCUAUUCUUGCUCUUCAGAAACUUCAGAAGGUAAUGUUUGCUAUCCUUUUGGUAGCAACUUACCAGUGAUCUUUAUUCAUACUCUUGUUCUUGCAUACUUUGUUGUUGAUACGAAAAGAUGAUGUAUUCUACAGAAGAAAGGAAGAGAACUACAAAAGAAAUAAAGGCAAGAAAGGCUGCAGAAUCUUUUAACAAAUUUUUAUGGUGCUGGAAUUACACGUUCCUGUCACAACCAUAGGCGUGUCAAUUAUAUAUUUGUAAGAGGAAAACUACUGAAGAGAGUGCAAGAAAGGAGGGUAAGUGAGACCUCAGAGCAUGAAAACCCAUCUCCAGAUACUGAUUUGGAAAAAGUCAGUAUACUAAAUCCAAUUUGAGCUAAUCAAUGUAAGCUUUCAGACAUUCACGUUUACUUAUGCAGUAUGCAGUCUGGUUUUUGCGAAAUCUGUUUCUCAGUUUUAUACUAAAUCCAAUUUAAGCUAAUCAAUGUAAGCUUUCAGACAUUCACGUUUACUUAUGCAGUAUGCAGUCCGGUUUUUGCAAAUCAGUUUCUUAGUUUCAUACUAAAUCCAAUUUAAGAUAAUCAAUGUAGGGUCU
Long non-coding RNA from Rosa chinensis, 995 nucleotides. RefSeq lists it as uncharacterized. Lineage: Eukaryota; Viridiplantae; Streptophyta; Magnoliopsida; Rosales; Rosaceae. The record is from RefSeq and is a predicted model, not a curated record. The transcript has 4 exons.